RNAcentral lists this ribosomal RNA (460 nucleotides) under uncultured bacterium. RNAcentral describes it as "partial 16S ribosomal RNA". It matches the Rfam family "Bacterial small subunit ribosomal RNA", at positions 338 to 795 of the family's 1533-position model. The record is from RNAcentral.
CCUACGGGAGGCAGCAGUGAGGAAUAUUGGUCAAUGGACGAGAGUCUGAACCAGCCAAGUAGCGUGAAGGAUGACUGCCCUAUGGGUUGUAAACUUCUUUUAUAAAGGAAUAAAACGAGGCACGUGUGCCUUUUUGCAUGUACUUUAUGAAUAAGGAUCGGCUAACUCCGUGCCAGCAGCCGCGGUAAUACGGAGGAUCCGAGCGUUAUCCGGAUUUAUUUGGUUUAAAGGGAGCGUAGAUGGGUUGUUAAGUCAGUUGUGAAAGUUUGCGGCUCAACCGUAAAAUUGCAAUUGAUACUGGCAGUCUUGAGUACAGUUGAGGUAGGCGGAAUUCGUGGUGUAGCGGUGAAAUGCUUAGAUAUCACGAAGAACCCCGAUUGCGAAGGCAGCUUACUAAACUGUGACUGACAUUGAUGCUCGAAAGUGUGGGUAUCAAACAGGAGUAGAUACCCCUGUAGUC